GUUUUUACUUGCUUUGCCCCAUCUACAAGCCUUAGGAGCCUUUACAAGGGAGCUGCUUCUAGAUGAAAUGGAAUGUAUGGGUGACAGGAACAGCUGGGCAGGGUGAAAAAGUCCCAAUGCUGACUGCAGAAAAGGAAAGCUGGAGAGAAAGAGGAUUCGCAUGGAUCUUCACCUGUGCACUGCAAAACUAGUCAACAUUUUCAACGUGAAUAUAGGAGAUAUGCGAAGAACAUGCCAUGCCAUGUCUCCUUCGACAGAAUUUAUAUUUCUGUUAGUGGAAAUGGGGCAGGAAAAGCAACCAGGUGAUUCCCUCAAGCAAAGAAAUCACUGCCCAGUCUCCAUCCACUGAUAUGCACAAACAGCGGGUCACAUCUAUACACAUCAACCCAUGCUGAUGACUACCAUGACAGGCAAAUUCAACAUGAAAAUCAGCAAGAAAAAAAUGACCUUGCUGCAUUUUAAGCCGGUAAUGCGUGCAUAGCCUUAAUACACUGGAUGUUACACAAUGGUUAAUUCUGUGUUUCAUGUAUGUGGUA
This is a non-coding RNA of Podarcis muralis (Common wall lizard), 536 nucleotides long. The record is from RefSeq and is a predicted model, not a curated record. NCBI's taxonomy places the organism in Eukaryota, Metazoa, Chordata, Lepidosauria, Squamata, Lacertidae.